UGGGAGCCUUCUCCUUUGGGAAGUUGAAUGUAGAAACUCGGGGUGAGCGGAUCGUCGACAGUGACAUCUACCAAGACUUUGAUAGUACGGGUCCACUGGGUGUUAUCCAUGCUUGCUUCAUCGACGUCGUAGAGGUGAGGGAAAUAUGUUGUGGCUAUUUCCUCGACAGUUUCUUCUGAUCUAUAUUUCCAUGGUAUGUCAUGGACCUGUACCCAUAUUGGUAUGUUCUUGAAGCAGGCCUCCUCGGCUCCCCCAUUCCCGGCCCAGCGUUUUACCGCUAUCAAUGCUCCUGAAAUUCCAUAAGGUUGGUGGGCUAUGGAAUAUUCAAGUUGAUCAUUGUCGACCAUUGUCAUGACGAAGACUUCUAGGUGGAACUGGAGUUCUUUCACAUUGUGUAGGCCGAAGCUAUCCCAGUGCCUCUGAGUCACUCUGAUGACCGCUCCUUUGUGCGGCAUCCUAGUUCCGAAGCAACGUCCGACCAGCAGAGGGCCCUUCUGAGCUGUGCCUUUCUCCCUUGGUGGUGGGAUGGGCUGAGCUUGAUUCUGGAUGGACGUCCUGGGAUAGGUACGGUGUUGUUGAAAUCGUUGCUGGGUGCUGCAAUUUCCUACCAGUCGAUUCAUUUUUCUUCGGUGCUUAGGGUUGGUUGGUUUGGAAGAUGGUUUUUUAGGUGGCUUUCGAUUGAUGAUGUGAAUGGCUCUUGGGGUGGAGAGGGGUAUUUGUGGGUAUGGCCGCGGGUUCCCAAAAGUAGUAAUAAAUCCUUAAUGAUGCACGUAGACGUAAUGAUUGUGGCCAUUUGAAUAUGAGCGAGUUGAAUGGCUGAGAGAGGGGGAGCAGUGAUGAUGUGAAAUUUUUCCGGUGAGAUUAGACAGAGGUUGUUGCUCCCAGAGGAGUUAAUGAGGGGCUUAAUUAAUUCCCCACUAGGCUGAGGCUGAGAGGAUGGGAGAGCCGGUUGGAAGCUUCCCCUUUGGAUAAAGCCUGCGCCACGGAGUGAGGAGCAUUAAUGUCCGUAUCGAAGAUCUCCUUUGUCUUCGUCAUCAUUAGCGAUAUUAAUCUGGGUGGUUGGGGUUUCUGGUGGGUGGUUGAGGUUGUGUAUGUUGUAGUGCUGGUGGUAGUUUUAUCUCCGAUGACAUGCAACUCGCUAGCGUAAGUGGCUGGAUUCUUGCCUCUCCACUAUUCGGCGAUGUUGUUUAGGAAGAUAGUAGUAUCGUAAGGAUUUUGCGUUUGCGUGUCUUCAUGGGUGGAGAUUUCGUGAUUGAGUUUGGUAUUCAGCCAUUUUGGUUGUCCAGUACCCACGAGUGGGGUGUAGACAGAAGUGCUUACCACACUUGUCGAGAGAAA
RNAcentral lists this long non-coding RNA (1338 nucleotides) under Linum usitatissimum (flax). RNAcentral's name for it is "long non-coding RNA (LUSI_LNC002957)". Lineage: Eukaryota; Viridiplantae; Streptophyta; Magnoliopsida; Malpighiales; Linaceae. The record is from RNAcentral.